GGCCGGCCCGUCCGCGCUGCCAUACCCGCAACAACCGCAAGGUAUGCCGGUGCCGUACGGCGCGGGCGCGGCGUACCCGUACUACGCGGCGCCCAUGCCGGCCCUGUACAACCCGUACGCCACGCUGCCGUACCCGCACCACGCGCGCAUGCCGCCGCCGCAGGCGUACGCGGCGUACCAGUACCCGGCGCCCGCGCCCGGCGCCCCGUACGGGCAGCCCCCGCCCGCCGGGUACAACCCCUAUCCGCAGCAGUAGGCGCGCCCGAUGGCUUGCUUUGUAACGGUUAUCAUAAUAUAUUAUAGUAAAAAUAUGCGCAUUUAACGAAUUUUCGAAAAGGUAUGUGAUGCCCAGAGGAAAUAAAUGAUAGAACAUGUAUUAAGAUGAAAUCUCUGUCGACAUAAUAUAAGAGUAAGACGUAGUAGUUGUAGCCUGAGAGCUCGCGUGCGCCGGCAUGUUGCAGACCGACAUGGUUCAGUAUACGUAUGACACGCGCCGCUUACUAGAUGAGGAUACAUCUCACUGCACUGUUAUAACAAUCUCGUUUGUAAGUAUGUAAAAAAAAUAUAUUUGUUAAUUCUUGAGAAAUAAAGUUAGAAGUAAUUUUUUAAUAGCAUUUUUUAUUAUUUAUAUAUAGUGGCCAAAAGUUUGGAAGUAUACCUCCUAUUUAUUGCCUGUGCGAUCAUAAUUAUUGCGUAUAAAUAAAAUCACAAUACGAGUUUGGUGCUUUACAGUUUAUAGUUGUUCAACAAUGAAAUGAUGCAUUAAAUUAUUAUUUCACAUUAUGUUUUAAGUGA
Long non-coding RNA from Spodoptera litura, 795 nucleotides. RefSeq lists it as uncharacterized. Lineage: Eukaryota; Metazoa; Arthropoda; Insecta; Lepidoptera; Noctuidae. The record is from RefSeq and is a predicted model, not a curated record.